GGUGGCCGGGCGGGAUGUAACCGGCUGCUGAGCUGGCAGUUCUGUGUCGCUAGGCUUCUGCCCGGCCGCCGCCGCACAUAAGCCACGAGGAGGAGCUUUACGACUUCCCGGUCUUCGGCGCCGGGCGCAGCAAGGGCCAGACUCUGCGCUAGCAGGCGCUGCGCGCCAACCGGCCGGCACCUGUCGCAGAAGGUGCAACCGAUCGCACUGUCGCGCAGAAGCUCCUCAAUGGCCAGCGCCAGCUGCAGCCCCGGCCGCCCACUCGCCUCAUCUGAGCCUGGCAGAAGGUAAGCAUGAGCAAAUUACUUUUUAGAGGUAACUUUGCUGAACUUGUGAAGAAUGGUGUGCAAGGUCCAGAGCGACUGCAGGAGAGGGAAGGUGGGAUUCCCACAGAGCAGGAGCACAGAUAAGCCAAGCAAGGCCCUGCUUGGAAGGCAGCAAUCAACAGAGAUGCACAGACCUGUGAGGGUGCCGGGACAGCCAUGCAACAAUGCAGCCCUUUUGCUUCCUGAGCUCACCAGUUCCCUCGCUCCACCUCUGAGAGGUGGUUUGGAGAAACACAGCCCUUCUCAAGAGGGCUGCAAGCUACUUAAGUCCUGAAAAUUUCCACAAGGCUGAGUCAAAUCUGCGUUUCAUCAUCUAUAAGAAAGGUACCUAUCGAGAACACCCUGCUGGCCAGUGUGUAAAUAUCUAAAGGAGGACUCAGAAAACACCGGGGAAGUCCAGCCUGCACGUGGUGGCUGGGCUUCAGUGAAGCAUGCAGCACAACAGGAGUUAGCAGACCACAAAGAGCAUGUCUGGACCUAGAACCACAGCAUGUAACCUCGGAAGCAGUGAGACACCAGCCAGCAUGGACAAGCAGCAGGCACUUGCUCUAUACCAGAUAGGUCCCACCUCCAGCCUUCCCCUGCUGCCAUCUAACAUCCUAAACUCCAGCUCUGAAUGUCUGUCUCCUGCUCUGAAUCUUCAGUGACUUCGAAACUCAAGUCAGGACACCUCUCAGUUUGGCCUCACUGCUCAAGAUUGAGCUGAAUUCAUGACCAUAAUUCAAGCAUUCAGAUUCAUGGGCUGUUUUGUGGGUUUUGCUAUCUCUUAUUUUGUUUUUGCACAUCUUACCCACUGAAACGUUGGGCUGCAAAAAGUUUGAUCACUAAAUAUGUAGGCAAUGCUGGAUACUGGGCUGUUAUUUACAUAUUUGUAUCACCUUUUAUUUCAUAAGAUAGCAUUGUCAGAGUAAUUUAGUAUUUCAACAUAAUCAACAAGUAAAAUAAAAUUAAUGAGAAUGAUCUUA
This is a long non-coding RNA of Homo sapiens (human), 1291 nucleotides long. Ensembl annotates it as long intergenic non-protein coding RNA 1409. Lineage: Eukaryota; Metazoa; Chordata; Mammalia; Primates; Hominidae. The record is from Ensembl.